UCACCUGCAGGAUCAUCGGUCUUCAUCUCCUAGACCAACCUUGCACAGAAGGCCUCAGUAUUCCUACGCUUGCUUGCUGAAUUUUAUGAUGUAGCAGGUUGAUAGUGGAACUAUUUCUGCAAUUGGGACAGCACAUCACGAGCCCGAAAGGCUUUGUUCAGAGGCAGGAGAGAGGCUUGAAGACUAGAAUGAGGAGGAAGGUUGGUCUGAAGCUCCCUUCAAGAGAACAAUCCAUUUAUAUCUCUCCAACUGUGAGGCUGAGAGCUCCCACUCUGUAAGCUGAAACACCAGGAAAGCUGAUGGUAUAAUUCAUUCCAAGUCUAAAGGCCUGAGAAUUGGCAGGGAUACUGGAGCCUUCAAGUGAUUGGAUGAUGCCUACCAGCAUUGUUGAAGACAACCUUCUUCACUCAGUCUAUCAAUUCAAAUGUUAAUCUCUGCCAGAAAAGCCAUCACAGAUACACCCAGAAAUCAUUGUCUGUUAAGACCCCAUCGCAGAGAAGUUAAAGAGCUUCAAUCACCAUGCUUUCAGGGUCAAUUUGUCUCCGAAAAGGAACAGAUGGGGAAGAAUUAUUCCAUUCACAGUUGACUUGUCAGAAAUUCCAAGAUCUUGGACUGGCUGAAAGCAAUGAUGUUGCCAUUCAUCCUUUCACGUAUUCAUUAUGGUCUACAGCUGAGAAGGGCUAUUUGGGGUUUGCUUUGCCUGAUGGUAGCAGAAGAAAACCAAGAGGCCUCUCUACGAAAGCUUGCAGUAAGGAGAAAGUUCUGGAGACUGGGAAGAGCAACACAAAGAUAUUCAGUUGCUUGGUGAGAGCUGCUCUCUGCUUCCAAGGCGGCACCUUGUUGCUGCAUUCUCCAAUGGGAAGGAACGCUGGGUCCUC
Long non-coding RNA from Homo sapiens (human), 878 nucleotides. Ensembl annotates it as long intergenic non-protein coding RNA 1435. The record is from Ensembl. Lineage: Eukaryota; Metazoa; Chordata; Mammalia; Primates; Hominidae.